UGGCCUGCUCUGGACUACUGUUGUCACUACUCUUUGGCGUGAACGCUGCUCCUCCCUCUAUGAUGGUACAAGACGGAGGUGGAUAUUGUUGGCAGCAUUAAAUUUGAUGUCAGAGCUAUGAUGCUUGGUCACCCGAGAGCUAGGAAUCUGGUGUAUUUCCUUUCAGUAUUUCUUUUCUUUGUUGUUUCCUUUCUCUUUGGUUAGCAGGUAGGUGCAUGAAGUAGUGAUUCCGGGCACCUAACUUAGAGGGAGAUGGCUAAUUGAACCUGCACACUUCUCUUGCCUUGUAGUCUGUCUUUUCUUUCUCCCUUGUCUCUAUUGUCUUUGUUUAUAGACUUUGUUU
This 343-nucleotide long non-coding RNA is filed under the name Linum usitatissimum (flax). RNAcentral describes it as "long non-coding RNA (LUSI_LNC002414)". Lineage: Eukaryota; Viridiplantae; Streptophyta; Magnoliopsida; Malpighiales; Linaceae. The record is from RNAcentral.